CCGGCGAGUUACGAUUUGAUGCAAGGUUAAGCAGUAAAUGUGGAGCCGUAGCGAAAGCGAGUCUGAAUAGGGCGUUUAGUAUUUGGUCGUAGACCCGAAACCAGGUGAUCUACCCUUGGUCAGGUUGAAGUUCAGGUAACACUGAAUGGAGGACCGAACCGACUUACGUUGAAAAGUGAGCGGAUGAACUGAGGGUAGCGGAGAAAUUCCAAUCGAACCUGGAGAUAGCUGGUUCUCUCCGAAAUAGCUUUAGGGCUAGCCUCAAGUGAUGAUUAUUGGAGGUAGAGCACUGUUUGGACGAGGGGCCCCUCUCGGGUUACCGAAUUCAGACAAACUCCGAAUGCCAAUUAAUUUAACUUGGGAGUCAGAACAUGGGUGAUAAGGUCCGUGUUCGAAAGGGAAACAGCCCAGACCACCAGCUAAGGUCCCAAAAUAUAUGUUAAGUGGAAAAGGAUGUGGCGUUGCCCAGACAACUAGGAUGUUGGCUUAGAAGCAGCCAUCAUUUAAAGAGUGCGUAAUAGCUCACUAGUCGAGUGACACUGCGCCGAAAAUGUACCGGGGCUAAACAUAUUACCGAAGCUGUGGAUUGUCCUUUGGACAAUGGUAGGAGAGCGUUCUAAGG
RNAcentral lists this ribosomal RNA (622 nucleotides) under Staphylococcus aureus. RNAcentral's name for it is "partial 23S ribosomal RNA". It matches the Rfam family "Bacterial large subunit ribosomal RNA", at positions 620 to 1246 of the family's 2925-position model. The record is from RNAcentral. Lineage: Bacteria; Bacillati; Bacillota; Bacilli; Caryophanales; Staphylococcaceae.